GACGAACGCUGGCGGCGUGCUUAACACAUGCAAGUCGACAUUAGUGGCGAACGGGUGAGUAAAUCGUGGGGAAACUGCGCUCCUUUUUGGGGUAAGCCUUGGAAACGGGGUCUAAUACCUGAUAAAGGGGGAGGGGCUCGCGGCUGAUCAGCUUGUUGGUGGGGUGAUGGCCUACCAAGGCGGUGACGGGUAGCCGGCAUGAUAGGGUGAACGGCAACAUAGGGACGGAGCUAAGGCCCAGACGAGUAAGGGGGGAGGAAGUGGGGGAGAUGGCACAAUGCGUGAUCGACUGAUGCAGCGAGUCUGCGUGGGGGCUGAAGGCUUUAGGGUUGUAAACCUUGUUAGCUAUCGAAGGGGUAGGUGGAGAAGAAGCGCCGGCUAACUACGUGCCAGCAGCCGCGGUAAUAC
Molecule: ribosomal RNA, 408 nt
Filed under: uncultured bacterium
Lineage: Bacteria
Description: partial 16S ribosomal RNA
Rfam family: Bacterial small subunit ribosomal RNA
Source: RNAcentral